RNAcentral lists this ribosomal RNA (467 nucleotides) under uncultured bacterium. RNAcentral describes it as "partial 16S ribosomal RNA". It matches the Rfam family "Bacterial small subunit ribosomal RNA", at positions 28 to 507 of the family's 1533-position model. The record is from RNAcentral.
GAUGAACGCUGGCGGCGCGCCUAACACAUGCAAGUCGAACGAUUAAAGCACCUUCGGGUGUGUAUAAAGUGGCGAACGGCUGAGUAACACGUGGGCAACCUGCCCCUUUCAUUGGGAUAGCCACGGGAAACCGUGGAUAAUACCGAAUACUUCGAGACUUCCGCAUGGAAGACUCGAGAAGGCUCCGGCGGAGAGGGAUGGGCCCGCGGCCUGUUAGCUUGUUGGUGGGGGAACGGCCUACCAAGGCAAUGAUGGGUAGCUGGGUUGAGAGACCGACCAGCCAGAUUGGGACUGCGACACGGCCCAGACUCCUACGGGAGGCAGCAGUGGGGAAUCUUGCACAAUGGGCGAAAGCCUGAUGCAGCGACGCCGCGUGCGGGAUGAAGGCCUUCGGGUUGUAAACCGCUUUCAGCAGGGACGAGGCGAAAGUGACGGUACCUGCAGAAGAAGCCCCGGCUAACUACGUG